GGCGCCCAGGUUAACUAAGGAUGGGGGGCACAACACGGGGACUGGGUUAUAUGGUUCAACCCGGAAAUCUACGGGACGCAACCAAUUGAGGCCAGGCUGAGAAUUUGCGGAUUAGUGAGAGGUGUCCAUGCCGUAGUCAGUUCUUACUGGGAAGCAUCCUGUUAGGCAGGCACCGAGCGAGACCCACGCCCACCAGUUGCCAGCGUACUCUUGGGAGUGACGGGGUACACUGUGGGGACCGCCGCUGCUAAAGCGGAGGAAGGGAAUGGGCAACGGUAGGUCAGUAUGCCCGGAAUAUCCCGGGCUACACGCGAGCUACAAUGGUUGGUACAAUGGGUAUCUACCCCGAAAGGGGACGGGAAUCUCCUAAAACCAAUCUUAGUUCGGAUUGAGGGCUGCAACUCGCCCUCAUGAAGCUGGAAUCCGUAGUAAUCGCGUUUCAACAGAACGCGGUGAAUACGUCCCUGCUCCUUGCACACACCGCCCGUCAAACCACCCGAGUAGGGUCUGAAUGAGAGCGCUUUCUUUGGAGGCGUUCGAAUUUGGGCUUUGCAAGGGGGGUU
This 563-nucleotide ribosomal RNA is filed under the name archaeon enrichment culture clone A1492D59. Its description in RNAcentral is "bacterial SSU rRNA". It matches the Rfam family "Archaeal small subunit ribosomal RNA", at positions 847 to 1429 of the family's 1478-position model. The record is from RNAcentral.